ACAGGUGCUGCAUGGCUGUCGUCAGCUCGUGUCGUGAGAUGUUGGGUUAAGUCCCGUAACGAGCGCAACCCUUGUCCUUAGUUACCAGCACGUUAUGGGGGGCACUCUAAGGAAACUGCCGGUGACAAACCGGAGGAAGGGGGGGAUGACGUCAAGUCAUCAGGGCCCUUACGGCCGGGGCUACACACGUGCUACAAGGGUCGGUACAGAGGGUUGCCAACCCGCGAGGUGGAGCUAAUCUCACAAAACCGAUCGUAGUCCGGAUCGCAGUCUGCAACUCGACUGCGUGAAGUCGGAAUC
Molecule: ribosomal RNA, 300 nt
Filed under: uncultured Gammaproteobacteria bacterium
Lineage: Bacteria; Pseudomonadati; Pseudomonadota; Gammaproteobacteria
Description: bacterial SSU rRNA
Rfam family: Bacterial small subunit ribosomal RNA
Source: RNAcentral